UCAAAAAUUAAAAUUUUAGGGUCAAAACUUUAAAAGUUCAAAUUAAGAACCCCUUAUUGAAAAUUGCAUUUUAACCCAAAUAAAAAAUUAAAAUCAGGUCCUUCAAUAUUUAAGAUUGCGUGACAGAUCCUCACUUUAAAAAUUACAACAUGACCACAAUCAGUUAAUUGCAGACAGGGGCCUUUAAUUUCUUAAAUUACAACAUAGCCCCCGUCUCCUUUAUUCAACCCGUUUCACAGCUUUUUGCAUUUUGUAGAACAUGACAGUGAAACAUAUAUGGUAAAAUCCACACACAAAUUCAACCCUAAUUUCAACAAUCCCAUUAUAAUGAAAAAUGGAGACAAAAAGAGGGGGAAAGUUCACCAAACUCACAAAUCCCAUAAUAAUGAAAAACCAGAGAAAUAAUCCCAGAAGCCAAAACAAAAAUACGCUUAAAAAAUCAAAACAGCUUUAUCCACCAAGAAAGUCACAGAAUCAAAUUCCAAAAUCCUAUACACGCAUAUAUACAGAAAUAGGAUUCCUGUUGGGCUACGAUGGUAAGGGCUAUGGUGCAUGUGGGUUUUGUUGAUUAGGGGAAAACCAUGGGUGAUUUUGGAUUUCUUUUCUUAUAGCUAUACAAUGAAUGAACAUGUAUAUGCACAGAACACGUAAAAUCAAUUACAAUUUUUUUUUUUUUUUUUUUUUUUUUUUGAAAAGCAAUCAAAACUAAAGUAAAUUGUCAAUGGUAAAUUCAAGCAGACAGAGGCAAGUGGGAAUAUUGGAAUGGCUAUUGGGUCUCCUUUUGAUAGUAAAACAUUGAGCAAUUAAUAUUCAAUUGCCAAAAAAGAAAAACCUGAAUUCUUGGCUUCUUCAAGAUAACAAAAAUUUCAAUGAAAAUGAAAUUAUAUAGACAUGCAAACACAUAUAGAUAAAGACCUUGAAGAAGUGAGAAAAUUGUGGGUUUCUCUUUCCUUUAUGCGGACGCAGGAGGGUGGGAAAGAAAAAGGAAGCACUUACUUUUGGGUUAUUUGCUCAAUUAACAAGGAAGCAAAUUUUUAAUCUUGGAUGUCGAAAGUUGAAUUAUAAAUAUUUCUAUAAAGGAUUCUAAUCUUAGCAUGAAGACUCUGAUACCAAUUGUUAAUAUUUAUUUAUAAUCAUGCUAAGAACAAGAAUCACAUAAUAAUAAAUUGAUAAAUCGAAUUCAUACAUGCGGAAGCCAUUGUUGAUAUGAAUAAUUGUUGUAAUAGCAGCCAAGAUCUUCCCCUCAUUGCUCCUCACAAAGUAAUAGCUAUCAAUGGGGCAAGCCAAUAAAACAUAUGGAGAGGAGAGGGGACCUAG
This 1317-nucleotide long non-coding RNA is filed under the name Olea europaea (common olive). RNAcentral's name for it is "long non-coding RNA (OEUR_LNC007208)". Lineage: Eukaryota; Viridiplantae; Streptophyta; Magnoliopsida; Lamiales; Oleaceae. The record is from RNAcentral.